Molecule: ribosomal RNA, 484 nt
Filed under: uncultured bacterium
Lineage: Bacteria
Description: partial 16S ribosomal RNA
Rfam family: Bacterial small subunit ribosomal RNA
Source: RNAcentral
AUUGAACGCUGGCGGCAGGCCUAACACAUGCAAGUCGAGCGGAUGCAGGGAGCUUGCUCCUGGAUUCAGCGGCGGACGGGUGAGUAAUGCCUAGGAAUCUGCCUGGUAGUGGGGGAUAACGUCCGGACACGGGCGCUAAUACCGCAUACGUCCUGAGGGCGUAAGUGGGGGAUCUUCGGACCUCACGCUCUCAGAUGAGCCUAGGUCGGAUUAGCUAGUUGGUGGGGUAAAGGCCUACCAAGGCGACGAUCCGUAACUGGUCUGAGAGGAUGAUCAGUCACACUGGAACUGAGACACGGUCCAGACUCCUACGGGAGGCAGCAGUGGGGAAUAUUGGACAAUGGGCGAAAGCCUGAUCCAGCCAUGCCGCGUGUGUGAAGAAGGUCUUCGGAUUGUAAAGCACUUUAAGUUGGGAGGAAGGGCAGUAAGUUAAUACCUUGCUGUUUUGACGUUACCAACAGAAUAAGCACCGGCUAACUUCGUG